RNAcentral lists this ribosomal RNA (433 nucleotides) under uncultured bacterium. RNAcentral's name for it is "partial 16S ribosomal RNA". It matches the Rfam family "Bacterial small subunit ribosomal RNA", at positions 29 to 507 of the family's 1533-position model. The record is from RNAcentral.
AACGAACGCUGGCGGCAUGCCUAACACAUGCAAGUCGAACGAUCCCUUCGGGGAUAGUGGCGCACGGGUGCGUAACGCGUGGGAACCUGCCCUUAGGUUCGGAAUAACUCAGAGAAAUUUGAGCUAAUACCGGAUAAUGUCUUCGGACCAAAGAUUUAUCGCCUUUGGAUGGGCCCGCGUUGGAUUAGCUAGUUGGUAGGGUAAAGGCCUACCAAGGCGACGAUCCAUAGCUGGUCUGAGAGGAUGAUCAGCCACACUGGGACUGAGACACGGCCCAGACUCCUACGGGAGGCAGCAGUGGGGAAUAUUGGACAAUGGGCGAAAGCCUGAUCCAGCAAUGCCGCGUGAGUGAUGAAGGACUUAGGGUUGUAAAGCUCUUUUACCCGGGAUGAUAAUGACAGUACCGGGAGAAUAAGCCCCGGCUAACUCCGUG